GUCUACGGCCAUGCCACCCUGAACAAGCCCAAUCCCGUCUGAUCUCAGAAGCUAAGCAGGGUUGUGCCUGGUUAGUACUUGGAUGGGAGACCACCUAGGAACACCAGGUGCUGUAGGCU
This 119-nucleotide ribosomal RNA is filed under the name Pteropus alecto (black flying fox). Lineage: Eukaryota; Metazoa; Chordata; Mammalia; Chiroptera; Pteropodidae. The record is from RNAcentral.